AUUGAACGCUGGCGGCAUGCUUUACACAUGCAAGUCGAACGGCAGCACGGGCUUCGGUCUGGUGGCGAGUGGCGAACGGGUGAGCAAUAUAUCGGAACGUACCCAGCUGCGGGGGAUAACGUAGUGAAAGUUACGCUAAUACCGCAUACGAUCUUUGGACGAAAGCAGGGGACCGCAAGGCCUUGUGCCCUUGCAGCGGUCGAUAUCUGAUUAGCUAGUUGGUGAGGUAAAGGCUCACCAAGGCGACGAUCAGUAGCUGGUCUGAGAGGACGACCAGCCACACUGGAACUGAGACACGGUCCAGACUCCUACGGGAGGCAGCAGUGGGGAAUUUUGGACAAUGGGCGCAAGCCUGAUCCAGCAAUGCCGCGUGAGUGAAGAAGGCCUUCGGGUUGUAAAGCUCUUUUGUCAGGGAAGAAACGGUAGAGGCUAAUAUCCUGUGCUAAUGACGGUACCUGAAGAAUAAGCACCGGCUAACUACGUG
This 484-nucleotide ribosomal RNA is filed under the name uncultured bacterium. RNAcentral's name for it is "partial 16S ribosomal RNA". It matches the Rfam family "Bacterial small subunit ribosomal RNA", at positions 30 to 507 of the family's 1533-position model. The record is from RNAcentral.